Molecule: transfer-messenger RNA, 359 nt
Filed under: Planctomycetota bacterium
Lineage: Bacteria; Pseudomonadati; Planctomycetota
Rfam family: transfer-messenger RNA
About the family: Bacterial tmRNA, also known as 10Sa RNA or SsrA, is named for its dual tRNA and mRNA-like properties. Its role is to liberate the mRNA from a stalled ribosome. To accomplish this part of the tmRNA is used as a reading frame that ends in a translation stop signal.
Source: RNAcentral
GGGGGCGAUCUGGAUUCGACUGGGCGGGCGAGGUUGAAGCAGCGUGCCGGGGUUGAUCGGUUGGCCUCGUUAACAAGCCGAUCACACAAAUAACUGCCGAGCAUUCUUAUGCUCUCGCUGCCUAAUUAACUAGGCAACGCCCGCGGCCAUGACGCCGAUAAUGGGUUCCGCGGGCCGCCAUCGGCUGGACGUUUCCAUGAUUCGCGGAAGUCGUGGAAGCAGUCGAGAUCAAAUUUCCGCUGGCCGCGUCCGGGUUGUCGCUGAACCGUCCGCGGCGAGAUUCAAUCAGCGACUGCGCACGGAGCGGCUUCCUCCAGACUUGUCGCAGGACGCGGGUUCGAUUCCCGCCGCCUCCACCA